RNAcentral lists this ribosomal RNA (253 nucleotides) under uncultured bacterium. Its description in RNAcentral is "partial 16S ribosomal RNA". It matches the Rfam family "Bacterial small subunit ribosomal RNA", at positions 524 to 776 of the family's 1533-position model. The record is from RNAcentral.
UACGUAGGGUCCGAGCGUUGUCCGGAAUUAUUGGGCGUAAAGAGCUCGUAGGCGGUCCGUUAAGUCGGAAGUGAAAUCUCAAGGCUCAACCUUGAAAUCGCUUUCGAUACUGGCGGACUUGAGGCAGGUAGGGGAAGGUGGAAUUCCUGGUGUAGCGGUGAAAUGCGCAGAUAUCAGGAGGAACACCGGUGGCGAAGGCGGCCUUCUGGGCCUGUUCUGACGCUGAGGAGCGAAAGUGUGGGGAGCAAACAGG